CCCACCAGCCUCCCGAUUCGCAAAGCCUGCCUCUCCUCCCACCCUCCGCCGCCGCGCGCGCAGACGACCAGCGACCCGCAGGCAUGGGCGUGUACACCUUCGUGUGCCGCAACUCCGGCGGCGCGUGGACGGCCAAGCAGCAGUCCGGCGAGAUCGAGGCCUCCGCCGCCACCCCCUACGAGCUCCAGCGCCAGCUCGUCGCCGCCGCCUCCGCCGCCGAUUCCGCGUCCGGCGUCCAGUCCUCCUUCUCCAUGGUCACCCCCAGCUCCGCCGUCUUCCAGGUCUGGUCAUACGACGCCGCCCUCCCAGACCCCCGGAUCCAGCUAUGUGGAAUAUAGAUGCGAACUGUUUGGUAGUUAAGGAUCUGAACUUGCUAGGGUCCGGGUGUGUCGCUGUUUCUCGUCGCAUCUGAUGAAUAAUAGGUUGUCGAUUGCUUUCGGUCGAAACUGAUUGUUGCGUAGCUGCUUCCUAUAGCUAGAUUUUCUACUCUGUUUAGUUAUUGCGUUGCCUGGGAAGUGUUUAUUGUCUGCUGUUUGUCGUUGAAGUUGUGCCGUGACAAGUUAUUCCUGAUUUGUAUACACCGGAUUUAGGAUAGUAAAGUGUUCACCAGCAGAUGGGGUCCUAGCUUGUAGCUAUGUUUUAGUUGAUAAUAUGUUUUGUUAUUUACUAAACCGUGUACAUUGUUAUGCCUUGGUUCAUAUUGAUGCGACAUUGCUAUGAUUUUAAAGCUCCAUGACCUUAAAGCUUUUGGUUGCUAGCAGCAUUGCUUGUGUAUUU
Molecule: long non-coding RNA, 777 nt
Filed under: Setaria viridis
Lineage: Eukaryota; Viridiplantae; Streptophyta; Magnoliopsida; Poales; Poaceae
Description: long non-coding RNA (SVIR_LNC005034)
Source: RNAcentral